Molecule: long non-coding RNA, 827 nt
Organism: Crotalus tigris (Tiger rattlesnake)
Lineage: Eukaryota; Metazoa; Chordata; Lepidosauria; Squamata; Viperidae
Exons: 3
Source: RefSeq, a predicted model, not a curated record
GGAAAAGAGAGCUGGAGGCGGCGGCGGCGGCGGCGGCGAAGGCACGUGAGUACGGUGACUUUAGGGGGCCAAAUUUCACGGGACGGACGGAGAGAGUGUGGGUCAAAUAUGGGAAUGUGCGUGAGUUGGAACGUUGGGUUAGGGCUAAAAUGCUCUGGCGUUUUGAAACGAGGGUACAAGAAUCACAAUGGAGAUGGGAGUGCAAAUUGCUCAGAAACCCACUGGACUGAAGUAUCAUAUAAGCCCCAAUAAACAAUUAAUUAUAACUAUGAUAUAGUUGUGGUGUACAACUCAAUAUGGAGAAGGAGAUGGCUAUAGAGCUGGAUGAGUUUGAGCCUGCAGAAUCCCACCGUCAUUAUUCCCAAGCAUUUCUUUGGCUUACUGAAAAGUAAAUGAAGUGAUUGAAAAGAUACAUAGAGUGAGAUCAUGGCAGAAGACUAAAGGGACUUGACUCAGCAUUGAGCCUUCAUGCGUAGUAAAAAUGGGUUAUUCCAGGGGUCUUCAAACUUGGCCCUUGUAUGACUUGUGGACUUCAACUCCCAGAAUUCCUCAGCCAGCGUGCGUGGGUUAUUCUAAGUCAGAGGCUGAUUCACAGAAGUACUCUGGUUACCAGAUGUCAAGCAAAAGGAGACCAUGUCCGCCUUUUUGUCCUCAGAUCCUCUGUCUGACAGGCAUAGCCUUAAAAUCAUAUAUUGUCUGGCUUCCUGAGUGUAUUUUGGGGUGACUGUUUCAAAAUAACAUUCAUUUAAAUUUUUAUGCAUUAUGACUUUAUAAUUGUUUGUUCUCCAGCACUGGAGAUGGAUAAUCCACGCAGUGAGUUGAGACUG